CAGGUGAUUUCCCCUCACCGGGCAGGGCGUCCCGGUGAGGGGAAACCAUUGCCGAUCACAGCUGACCACCCGUCGUGCACUUACUCACGGUGGCACCUCUCCCGGCAGAGUCCCAUCCCAUUCGAGAGACGUGCCGUGCGCAAAAAUAAAAACACCACUCGUGUUAGACCUACCAUUAUAUACGAUUAGUCUUCAAUGUUUAAUUCUGAUCGAUUUAUACGACAACAACAACAAAAACACGUGAAUUCAACUACGAACCAAAUGAAUUUUGAUCCCUUCUUUUUUAAUUUAUGCGACUAAAAAAUGCGUACGUGCGUAGGGCAGAGACGUGCCGUCAACACAAUUCGAUCUUUGGACGGGCAACAGUCACCUGGCGACAGCCAUGUAACCAUCGGUCGGUAGUGCCGUGCGCAUUAAACGCAUUCGAUGCCGAACGGAGAGCGGUCGGCUGGCGAGACGCUUGUACGUGAUAUCCACCUUUUCUCCCCUAAUCGACAUUUACACUGCAAACAUUGUGCAAUGAAAAACUGAAUGACAUGACUUUCCCUGCAGCUAUAAACUUUGACCGCAGAAAAGCAAUGGGUGGAAGUGAAUCGGAUAAAUCCGUAUAGCAACAAUUAUCGGUAGGAAACGUAACAUGUAAUUUGUUGUUUUCGAUUUUUAGACGUCACACGGCUCAUUAUUGACGCAGUGCAUUUAAUCCAGAACGGAUCAGAGAUUCUUGUUAAAGACGGAAUGCAUAUGGAUAUAUUACUUUACAAUCAGUGUAUGUGUUGCGUAUUUAUAAUCUGUUGUCCGAAUGAUCCACGUUCUAAUAGAUUUAUAUGUUUAUGAUUCCACCACCUGCCACUCCUGUAUGGCUUAAUUCCGUGUUAGUAGAUGCAUUAAUAUAUUGGAAAAGCCAACACGAUCUAAACGCGGGGAAUGUCUAAGAUGAUCAAAGUGGAAUCAAGGUUAUAUCUUAUAGCGUUGCACCAUUUGCAAUGUCUGUCGGUUUACUAAUCAAUCUCGAGAUAGCGUGAGCCGUGCUCACCUGCCAUCUUUGUCCCGAAAUCAAAACCGCUAGUCCAACUUGGACAGUUCAAGAUUAAGGACUUUUUAAAAGAGAUAGGCUGGCAUUUGUUUACGUAACGUCUCACGCGUAUACGCGUAGAACGGGAUUCCAUGACACGAGCGUACGAGAUCAAGUAAGAUGUUGUAUUCAACAAAACAGAUCCCAACGAUCCUGUGUGCGAAUUCACGCGCGUUAAAAAUGCUUCAUCACUCAGAAACUUUGCACAUAAUUUUUUCAGCUGUUUAUUUGCUUCCAGAACACGAUUACGUAAUCAAAUAAAAUGUGGGUGUAAGUCGUUGCAUGUAAUAUGGAUCCUUAAUAAUCAAUCGUUUCGUGUUAUUCACUCCGUUUUAAUGUCAAGUCAGCCCCAAUGAAAAUUUCAGUCAGUAAUUAUACGCGCUUACAAUAAAUUUGGAAUAAUCAUGAACUCUGAUCAUGCAGAGCAGCUAUGUCUAAACAAAUCCCAUCCACUUGAUGAACGUUAUCGCAUCAAAUAAG
This 1552-nucleotide long non-coding RNA is filed under the name Daphnia magna. Its description in RNAcentral is "uncharacterized LOC116922555". Lineage: Eukaryota; Metazoa; Arthropoda; Branchiopoda; Diplostraca; Daphniidae. The record is from RNAcentral.